This 1461-nucleotide ribosomal RNA is filed under the name Staphylococcus edaphicus. Its description in RNAcentral is "bacterial SSU rRNA". It matches the Rfam family "Bacterial small subunit ribosomal RNA". Lineage: Bacteria; Bacillati; Bacillota; Bacilli; Caryophanales; Staphylococcaceae. The record is from RNAcentral.
UUAUGGGGGGGGGGCUUAAUACAUGCAAGUCGAGCGAACAGAUAAGGAGCUUGCUCCUUUGACGUUAGCGGCGGACGGGUGAGUAACACGUGGGUAACCUACCUAUAAGACUGGGAUAACUUCGGGAAACCGGAGCUAAUACCGGAUAACAUUUGGAACCGCAUGGUUCUAAAGUGAAAGAUGGUUUUGCUAUCACUUAUAGAUGGACCCGCGCCGUAUUAGCUAGUUGGUAAGGUAACGGCUUACCAAGGCGACGAUACGUAGCCGACCUGAGAGGGUGAUCGGCCACACUGGAACUGAGACACGGUCCAGACUCCUACGGGAGGCAGCAGUAGGGAAUCUUCCGCAAUGGGCGAAAGCCUGACGGAGCAACGCCGCGUGAGUGAUGAAGGGUUUCGGCUCGUAAAACUCUGUUAUUAGGGAAGAACAAACGUGUAAGUAACUGUGCACGUCUUGACGGUACCUAAUCAGAAAGCCACGGCUAACUACGUGCCAGCAGCCGCGGUAAUACGUAGGUGGCAAGCGUUAUCCGGAAUUAUUGGGCGUAAAGCGCGCGUAGGCGGUUUCUUAAGUCUGAUGUGAAAGCCCACGGCUCAACCGUGGAGGGUCAUUGGAAACUGGGAAACUUGAGUGCAGAAGAGGAAAGUGGAAUUCCAUGUGUAGCGGUGAAAUGCGCAGAGAUAUGGAGGAACACCAGUGGCGAAGGCGACUUUCUGGUCUGUAACUGACGCUGAUGUGCGAAAGCGUGGGGAUCAAACAGGAUUAGAUACCCUGGUAGUCCACGCCGUAAACGAUGAGUGCUAAGUGUUAGGGGGUUUCCGCCCCUUAGUGCUGCAGCUAACGCAUUAAGCACUCCGCCUGGGGAGUACGACCGCAAGGUUGAAACUCAAAGGAAUUGACGGGGACCCGCACAAGCGGUGGAGCAUGUGGUUUAAUUCGAAGCAACGCGAAGAACCUUACCAAAUCUUGACAUCCUUUGAAAACUCUAGAGAUAGAGCCUUCCCCUUCGGGGGACAAAGUGACAGGUGGUGCAUGGUUGUCGUCAGCUCGUGUCGUGAGAUGUUGGGUUAAGUCCCGCAACGAGCGCAACCCUUAAGCUUAGUUGCCAUCAUUAAGUUGGGCACUCUAGGUUGACUGCCGGUGACAAACCGGAGGAAGGUGGGGAUGACGUCAAAUCAUCAUGCCCCUUAUGAUUUGGGCUACACACGUGCUACAAUGGACAAUACAAAGGGCAGCUAAACCGCGAGGUCAUGCAAAUCCCAUAAAGUUGUUCUCAGUUCGGAUUGUAGUCUGCAACUCGACUACAUGAAGCUGGAAUCGCUAGUAAUCGUAGAUCAGCAUGCUACGGUGAAUACGUUCCCGGGUCUUGUACACACCGCCCGUCACACCACGAGAGUUUGUAACACCCGAAGCCGGUGGAGUAACCAUUUAUGGAGCUAGCCGUCGAAAGGGGAACAAAGA